This is a long non-coding RNA of Leopardus geoffroyi (Geoffroy's cat), 288 nucleotides long. RefSeq lists it as uncharacterized. The transcript is spliced from 3 exons. The record is from RefSeq and is a predicted model, not a curated record. Lineage: Eukaryota; Metazoa; Chordata; Mammalia; Carnivora; Felidae.
AUAGACUCAAAGCCCAUUUUAGUUUUAUGAGCGUUGUGCUUUAUACUUGCUACAGUCUUUAAAUGCUUUGAAGCAGUGUCUAGACCAGCAGGGCCCAAUAAAAAUGCAACGCAUGCCGCAUAUGUAAUUUCAAAUUUUCUGGUAGCCACAUUAAGAAUGUAAAAAGAGGAGGGACGCCUGGGUGGCUCAGUCGGUUAAGCGUCCAACUUCGGAUCCGGUCAUGAUCUGGUGGCUCACGAGUUCAAGCGCUGCCUCAGGCUCUGUGCUGACAGCUCGGAGCCUGGAGCC